Molecule: ribosomal RNA, 91 nt
Filed under: Avibacterium gallinarum
Lineage: Bacteria; Pseudomonadati; Pseudomonadota; Gammaproteobacteria; Pasteurellales; Pasteurellaceae
Source: RNAcentral
CACCUAACUCCAUGCCGAACUUAGAAGUGAAACGCUGUAACGCCGAUGGUAGUGUGGGAGUUUCCCAUGUGAGAGUAGGACACCGCCAGGU